GGAGUCGUGGCAGAGCGGUUUAUUGCACCGACCUGAAAAGUCGGAGAACGUGAGAAGCGUUUCGGGGGUUCAAAUCCCCCCGGCUCCGCCA
Molecule: transfer RNA, 91 nt
Filed under: Rhodospirillaceae bacterium
Lineage: Bacteria; Pseudomonadati; Pseudomonadota; Alphaproteobacteria; Rhodospirillales; Rhodospirillaceae
Description: tRNA-Phe
Rfam family: tRNA
About the family: Transfer RNA (tRNA) molecules are approximately 80 nucleotides in length. Their secondary structure includes four short double-helical elements and three loops (D, anti-codon, and T loops).
Source: RNAcentral